UUGGAGCGCAUCCCGAAAGGCGUGAAACGGUUUUCGGAGCACGAUGCGCGUAAAAA
RNAcentral lists this unclassified non-coding RNA (56 nucleotides) under Brucella sp. 191011898. RNAcentral describes it as "BASRCI408". Lineage: Bacteria; Pseudomonadati; Pseudomonadota; Alphaproteobacteria; Hyphomicrobiales; Brucellaceae. The record is from RNAcentral.